RNAcentral lists this non-coding RNA (734 nucleotides) under Anagonalia emeiensis. The record is from RNAcentral. Lineage: Eukaryota; Metazoa; Arthropoda; Insecta; Hemiptera; Cicadellidae.
AUAGUUUGAUUCUGUCUAAAAUAUUGAUUUUAAUGAAUUUAUUAUAUGUUUUGUUUUUAAUUAUUUUUUUUAUAACAGUAAUUAAUAUUAUAAAAAAAAUUAAUUUUUAUUUAGAAAUUUAUUUAAGUUAAAUUAAUUUUGUGCCAGCAUUUGCGGUUAUACAAUUUAUUUAAAUUAAUAUUUUAGGUUAUUUUAAUUAAUUUUUUUAAUUAAGAAAUAAUAUUAUUUUUAUUUAGGUGAAAUUUAUAUUAAUAAUUUUUUUUAAAAAUAUUUUUAUUAAUUCUUAAUUUAAACUAGGAUUAGAUACCCUAUUAUUUUAGAUGUAAUUUUAUGCCUUAUUAUUAAUAGUUAAGUUCUAUAAAAAUUAAAGAAUUUGGCGGUAAUUUUACUUUACAGAGGAACCUGUAUUUUAAUUGAUAAACCACAAUAGUUUAAACCUUAAAUUUUAUUUGUAUAUCGCUAUGAAUUGGAAUUUUUUAUUUGAAAUUUUCUUUUAUUAUUUAGAUUUAUAUUAGGUCAAGGUGCAGUUUUUUAAGGGUUCAUAUGGGUUACUUUAUUUAUAUUUUAUUAGAUAAUUUUUAAAUUUAAUGAUUUGAAAUAGGAUUUGUUAGUAAUUUAAUUAAAUUAAUUUAUUUGAAUUUAGUUCUAAAUUAUGUACAUAUUGCCCGUCACUCUCAAUAAUAUGAGAUAAGUCGUAACAAAGUAGUUAUAUCGGAAGAUGUUACUAGAAUGUU